UCUCCUCGUUGAGUCCAUACCAGCGGCCGGGUGCAUGACUCAUUGCUACCACCAGACAGACAGAGAACAAGAGUGUGCGUCCGAUCCAGAUCCUUUGCUCACUCACUCUCAAUCUCAAUCUCAAGCUGGCUGGCUGGCUGUCUUCUACACUCCCCGGCCAACCCCUGCUGCUGCUCUUCACCUCCGCCUUGCCGUCUCCCCGGCCGGCGACGCAGCUCGCCGUCUCACCACGCCCACGGCGGCUGCCGGAUCUGAACCGAACCAGCCGCAUCCGCGCAGCAGCAGGUGUUUGUUCGAUCUUAUAGGCUUCUUCAUAUUUUGGAUUUAAAUUUGGGUUGUUGUUAUUCAUCAAGACGUGGCAGCCUACUCCCCUAUUUUGUGUGUCACGAUCAAAAUAGCAGCAGGACAUCAGUAUGGAAUAAAUGAGACUUCAGGUCAAGCUACUGAUAUUAAGGUGUUCUUAUAUUUGUUUUGUGGGCUUUCAAGCCACUUGUGUUUACAUUUUGUCCAAAACUCAUGAAGACUGAAGGUGUGCCUGGAAAAUCUUCAGUUUUAGGGAUCAAAUGAUCAUCUGGCAUAAUUAUGGAAAACAAUGAAUUGUCAGUGUUUUGCUGCUGAUCAUUUUUGCGGUUUUGCCAUCCAGGAUCUUCAGAAGAAUAACUGGCAUACCAUAUCAGUGCACGUGUGGAGCCAGUUCAGAUCAUAAGCAGUAGUAGCAGUCUCAAGUGAAUGAGGAUGUUGAUUGAUGCUGGGAAUUCAUUGGCGCCCCCUACUGUUUACAAGCGGGACUUGCCUAACCAGUGAUGGAACUAUGAAUCUCCUUGGAAGCAACAGAUUGAGUUGGGAGAAAGGUGUGGUUCACUGAGGCAGUCCUCUGCCACUGCAACAGACACACAAGAAUGGCGUUGUUCGGUGGAUGCAGUUUCAACUGCUACUCGUGAUGCCCCUCCUUCGGUUCUUCCUUGGAUGCAGUCUACUUAAGAUAAUCCCAUCUUAGACGGAUUUUGGUACACCGUCAUACUGUGCAUGCUAUACGAUGCAGAUAUAACAUGGAAUGGAAGGUACCUGCCUCUGCCUGGAAGAAAUAUCUGAAGCCUGCCAGCCUUGUGAUGGCACUCAGAACUUGUCUAUUCACAUUCAUACCAUGUGUGCGAUGGAACCAGGCUCCAUCUUCUGACGAAAUCACACUUCUCAUGUUGUUAACUAAAGAAAUCGACACCCAGCGAUUGGCGCCAAAUCGGGCGGGCUCAUCGUCGACUGUCCGAUCUCUAUCCAACAGCAACUUACCGCCUUUCCCCGAGUGACGACACACACCACCCUGAAGAGUGUAUCCAACAGUCUCUGAAGACUGGAGUUGUCGCCAUUUGAAUUAUUACCUUUACUGUCUCCUUGUUCACCUGCUCUACAUUAGUGUUAAAGUUGAGAUUGCCUUUCACUAAUUGUAAUGCGUAUAAAACCCCGGAUCUAUCUGUAAACCCUAGCCGCCAUGUCCUGAAGAGCGUAAACGGUAUCCUUAAUUCGCUAUAUAUUUCUCUCGCAAUCAUGCUCUGAAUUCACGUAGCUACUUGGUGUGAUCUGAGAGUGAUUUUGGUUUUCUCAACUAGUUGGGUCUUGUCACUCCUUUGCUGCUGCUACUUGGUUACCUAACCUGCGUGUUGGUGAAAUAAAUGGGCAGCUUGUGUACGUUCUUCUCAGCAGAAGAAUGAAUGCUGCUCAUCUCAUCUGGCUUGCAGGCUUCAAAUCCAGGCCUUAAGUUGUAUUAUGGAAAUCCUAUUCUGCGCGCCUGCUUGAUGAAGCACGCGCUGUUGAUCAUGACUGAAUUGAAGGAAGUGAAGUCCCAAGAUAUCAUCACCGGAGACAGAUGCUCGUUUUCUUCACCAUGAAGUGCACAUGAUCUUGUGCUCCAGACUUGGUAGCAGCAGUGUCCGCCGAUCACUUUUGGGGAAACGGUCAAGGUGGCAGGGCUCAGACCUUGAGCCAAUGGGGGUAUGGAAUGAGUUCAGAAGUAGAACCAUCCAAUUCUAAUCCAAUUUGGCCAU
Triticum dicoccoides is the source of this 2039-nucleotide long non-coding RNA. RefSeq lists it as uncharacterized. Lineage: Eukaryota; Viridiplantae; Streptophyta; Magnoliopsida; Poales; Poaceae. The transcript has 8 exons. The record is from RefSeq and is a predicted model, not a curated record.